Molecule: ribosomal RNA, 433 nt
Filed under: uncultured bacterium
Lineage: Bacteria
Description: partial 16S ribosomal RNA
Rfam family: Bacterial small subunit ribosomal RNA
Source: RNAcentral
AACGAACGCUGGCGGCAUGCCUAACACAUGCAAGUCGAACGAGACCUUCGGGUCUAGUGGCGCACGGGUGCGUAACGCGUGGGAACCUGCCCUUAGGUUCGGAAUAACUCCCCGAAAGGGGUGCUAAUACCGGAUAAUGUCUUCGGACCAAAGAUUUAUCGCCUUUGGAUGGGCCCGCGUUGGAUUAGCUAGUUGGUAGGGUAAAAGCCUACCAAGGCGACGAUCCAUAGCUGGUCUGAGAGGAUGAUCAGCCACACUGGGACUGAGACACGGCCCAGACUCCUACGGGAGGCAGCAGUGGGGAAUAUUGGACGAGGGGCGAAAGCCUGAUCCAGCAAUGCCGCGUGAGUGAUGAAGGCCUUAGGGUUGUAAAGCUCUUUUAGCCGGGAUGAUAAUGACAGUACCGGGAGAAUAAGCACCGGCUAACUACGUG